CCAGCAGCUGCGGUAAUUCCCGCUCCAAUAGCGUAUAUUAAAGUUGUUGCAGUUAAAAAGCUCGUAGUUGGAUUUCUGGCAGGAUGACUUCGCCCUCUGUUGAGUGCGCGAAGAUAUCUUACCAUCCUUCUGUUAACGUUGGACUUCUUCACCGAAGUCCUUCAGGCUCAGAUAUUUUACCUUGAGAAAAUUAGAGUGUUUCAGGCAGGCUAGCGUCGGAAUACAUUAGCAUGGAAUAAUGGAAUAGGACUUGAACCUCUUCUGUUGGUCUAAGGGGUGCAAGUAAUGAUUAAUAGGGAUAGUUGGGGGCAUUAGUACUUAACUGUCAGAGGUGAAAUUCUCGGAUUUGUUAAAGACUAACCUAUGCGAAAGCAUUUGCCAAGGAUGUUUUCAUUAAUCAAGAACGAAAGU
This 411-nucleotide ribosomal RNA is filed under the name uncultured eukaryote. Its description in RNAcentral is "SSU rRNA". It matches the Rfam family "Eukaryotic small subunit ribosomal RNA", at positions 567 to 990 of the family's 1831-position model. The record is from RNAcentral.